This 266-nucleotide long non-coding RNA is filed under the name Pan troglodytes (chimpanzee). RNAcentral's name for it is "long non-coding RNA NONPTRT004788". Lineage: Eukaryota; Metazoa; Chordata; Mammalia; Primates; Hominidae. The record is from RNAcentral.
GCUGAGAGAACAAAACUCCCUUUGAAUGCAAACCUAUGAAUGCAAAGUAAUAAUCCCUUAGGGCCAGAGAUUGUAAGAGGAGGCAGAAAACUAUCUUGGGACAUGAGCGUGUCCCAAUAUCUCGGGGCCACCUGCCCAGUGGAGAGGGCCAUGGACAACACAGAGAAAUGUGCUUGAGAAAGGAAGGAAAAGAACUCCCCCACCUCACAGAGUAGGACCGAGGAGGACAGAGAAGGUAAUUAGUUUUUGUGGAACAGAGGAUUUGG